GAGUGGUUUUGGACCCGUGUCUGCCGGUAGAUCCCCNGUCUUUGUGCGGCCGACUAUCGGCGCCGAGUCCCGUCGGUUCUGUCGCUUAUGUUACUGUUGCCUUUCAAGUGCUUGCGUGCUGGUACCCGAACUACGGGUAGUGGUGCUCAACACACGUUGCCUCGCGGUGGACACCUUCGGGUGUGCCGCUGCGGCCAAAUGGCGCUUGCGGCGUUGCCUCRUGGUGCGGCACGUUAACUCUGCCGGUGCUAUCAAGGAAACCUCGCUCCCGCUAUUGGUCUCGGAUGUUGCCUACGCUAAAGUCUCUUGGCCCGUUUGGUUGCCUUGACCCGACCCUAARAAGCUCUCCSAAAAAUUGAGAACAACCGGAACAGGUGUUGCCUCUACCUCUCCACAGUUAGUGGUAGGAUUACGCAACAUUCUGCGCCGAUCCUCAAACUAGWAGGAUGAGCUUAGCCCGCUCAAUCGCGACAACCGGCCCGNYCRWUGSCUCUGCCUUGACACGCAAGUGGAUGGGCGGACAACUUCCGACGCUKGACGUCAAAGAGGACGUGCUACCUGGUUGAUCCUGCCA
Molecule: unclassified non-coding RNA, 574 nt
Filed under: Poa compressa
Lineage: Eukaryota; Viridiplantae; Streptophyta; Magnoliopsida; Poales; Poaceae
Description: partial external transcribed spacer
Source: RNAcentral